This is a long non-coding RNA of Triticum aestivum (bread wheat), 2397 nucleotides long. RefSeq lists it as uncharacterized. The transcript is spliced from 2 exons. NCBI's taxonomy places the organism in Eukaryota, Viridiplantae, Streptophyta, Magnoliopsida, Poales, Poaceae. The record is from RefSeq and is a predicted model, not a curated record.
AACAGUACACCCUAGGGAAAGAUAAUUUUCAAUAAUAAAAAGCACCGGGAAAUGGCGCGCAGUGCAAAAGGGAUGGCAUGAUGCAAAAUUUUGGCGUAGUUAGGUUUCCUCCUCGAAGCGCCGCCAGAAAAGCCCAAUAUUUCCCCCUUCGUCCAGGCGACAUCGAGUCGUCCUCCACCGUUGUGCAGCCAUGCUCUCCCCACGCCGUCUGGCCGUGCUCGCCCCCGUUCAAUCAACCACGCAUGGUCUCUGCUGACAGUUGCUCUCCUACACCGCCGCCUCUCCUUGCCGCCAGGAUGGAGAACAGGGGGAUUGAGACCGUGGAGGAAAGGCUAUAGGUGCCGGCGCCACCCAACAGGAGCCGGUGAUGGCCGGUCGGCUCGGACGACAGCGUCGGCAUCUACAUGACCUUGAUGAAGUCCGACCCCAGCUCCACCUCUGCACUGGCCAUGACACCGUGACGCCCCAACUGCCUAGGUGAUGCUGCAUAUUUCCUCUUGUAUUUGUGGCUUUUUGUUUGAUACACGAACAGUAUAAGGGUCUCAGAUUUAGUACAAUGUUACGCUUGUGUGCGAACCUUUUCUGCUGUUGCUGCAAAUUGUUGUGUGCAUCGGCUUGACCGUGAGUUAGUUAUUUAGCCAAAUGAGGUGUUCAACUGGUCAGUUGUAUUCGGAUGAUUGUCUAGCUCUUUAGGAACUAAUUACAAGCAGUACAAACACAUGGGAGGUUCAUUCAAAGUUUUUAGCUACAUACUAGCUGUGGAUUGUUUGAGAGCUCCCUCGCACUAUAAUUUUAGGAUUUUAUAGCCAUUUGCAGUUGCUUCUUUUAUUUAGAGCUCAGGGAGUGAAAGGUUGUGAAGUUCACAUGACCUCUGUUUCUUCAUAGAUAAGGAGACUCCGACAUCAAUCAUCGUCACACCAUCCCCUUAUUCAUCUCUUUGUAAUACCAAACCCUAGGUGGAUUCCUACAUGUAUUACUUUAAUCAUUCAUCCAUCAUUACCAUGAGUAUCGCUUUGAUGCUUGUUGUCUCUAUACCCAAGCAAAACCCCUAUUUCUCAGGGAUAUGGAGGAAACCUAGUAUGUUUAGGUGUUGAACGCCGAUAGGAUUCGAUAUCCUUUGUAUGUUUAUGGUAAUAAUCUUUCUGAUGUUGGGUGAAGUUAACCACUCAACAUUUGAUCCUUGGGACAUAAUGUUUAUUACUAUUGGUGUGAUGCUGGGUUUGUGGAGGUAUUGCGGUGACAGAAGUUAUGUCCCUUCUUCCCUAGCCACUUGAUGGGGGAUUACUUAAGACCGCCUUUAGCUACCUCCAUAGGGAUACCCUUAACCACUGUUGUCAUAACCUGCAUGUGUGGAGGAAUGGUGGUGCCGUAUGUGAUAUGUAGAUGCGACAUGUAUGCGCACAUAACUGUACUUGGAUAUACCCACUUAUAGAAACAUACAUAGUGGCUUAGUUAUCUGAACCUAGAACUGCGCUUUUGCAUAAGUUUUGUUAGACACAUACUAGUGGGGAAUCUAGACUCCUUGAGAAAGCCUUACCCUAUUGAUUUCAUCACCACCAUUUACUCUAUGUUGUUCUUUUAUAUAAUCUCACACUUUACUUUCAAUAACAAAUCAUUUGCAAGAUAUUCAACUUUCUCUUUCGCUUUGCUUUGUGCUGUAACUUACUUACAUGCACAUUUCUAUAAAUCCUUACAAGAGUGAUAGACCACCAGUCUUCCUGGUGGGAUCGAUAUUCUUAGUUCAAAAAAAUCUACAACCAAACUAUGUGCCACUUGCAGAUCAUCUGGUGCUGUUGCCGGGGAGCUAAGCGCUUUUAGUCUUUGUUUUAAGUUUUGGUUCAUUUUGUGUACUAAGUUAUUUUGCAGGUUCAACGCAACCAUGGCCGAGUUCGGUCAACUAAAGAAAUCUUCACUUCCUUGGGCCGGAUACCUAAUGGUGAAACUUACGAGAUCAACAUACCAACUUGUGCAGCUAUUUGGUGAGAUAUGCGAGACAUUUAAACUAAAUGCCUUCACCUAUGAUGAGAUGAAAUUAAAAUCAUUUGGGAAGACACUAACUGCCAAGGCAAAGGCAUGCUUAUUUUCUCAUCCGUAAGUACCUUCGACAUGUGAGAAAAAUCAUGUAACGUAUUCUUGGGGCAUUUUUAUACAGAGAAGAAAUCUUAUGUAGCAGGCGUAUGAUCAUCAAUUUUAAUUAGAAACCAGGUAAGAGGCUUGUAAAGGCAUAUAUGAGGUAUUGUUCUUUCCUUAGUUAUUUCCCUCGUCAUAAAUUACCAUCCCGGUUGGUGCCAAAUUUCUUUUAUGAAGGGCUUAAUGAUUACAUGUGUAUAAAAAAAACCAGCCGGCCUCGGUGGUCAGCAAUCUCUCAUAUUAAAGACAUGUGUAUAAAAUUUUCUA